AAAAGGAAACGAGAGGAAAGAAAAUCCAGUCGUUGGAGGGUUGCAAAAUGAAGCAUACAAAAGCUUAAACGUUCCAUGGCCCUCUCAAAAGACACUGGCCUUGCAGCAAUAUUGACAUGAUACAAAAUACUUGGGUUACAAGCACAAGUACAAAACAAUACAACUAAUCUGAUGUCUGUCCUUACACUACAAGCCCUAAUAAACUUCACUAAUUUAUGGUCCUGCCCAAAAUUAUAAGGAAGAGGACCUCUGUUGAGGUUGGAAACUGAAAUCUGCCCUUAGAAGUAGAUCUAUACUACA
RNAcentral lists this unclassified non-coding RNA (300 nucleotides) under Hevea brasiliensis (rubber tree). Lineage: Eukaryota; Viridiplantae; Streptophyta; Magnoliopsida; Malpighiales; Euphorbiaceae. The record is from RNAcentral.